RNAcentral lists this long non-coding RNA (619 nucleotides) under Homo sapiens (human). RNAcentral describes it as "TRD antisense RNA 1". The record is from RNAcentral. Lineage: Eukaryota; Metazoa; Chordata; Mammalia; Primates; Hominidae.
GAACUCUAUUUGCAUAUCCUUUUAUACAUGGGAGAUUAAAAGCUUCAACCUUGAGUGAUCACAGUUUUUGAGAAUCAUGAUGAGGCAUUAAAGAAGAGGAGGAGUGUCUCAAGGGAGCCUCAGACUCAGGGCUGGGACCCUUGGGACUCAAAAGAGAGAAAAGGUGGAGAAAAGAGAAAGCUACUAUUUUCUUCAUUUUGCCCCUGCUAACAUCCAAUGCACUUAGGAGCCUCGAUGUCUGCUCUCCAAGAGAUGUCUGAUCUGAAAGCAUGUUGUGGUCCGCUACACACAAGAGCAAAAGAAGAGCAGGAAGGAGCUCAGUGCCAAGACCAUAGCCACAGGAAGAAAACCAGCUCUUAGGGCUGCAGCUCUAAAGACAGGCCAGGUCAUUACAGGAACGUCUGCUCCCUUAGCCUUGCCAGACAGAGGAGGGUUAAGAAAGGAACUGCUGACCCUGAUAUGCAAACUGCCACGAGUGCUUCCUGCCUUUCUAUCAGCAUCAGAUGGCUAGCGAUGGAUGGCUGUAAGAUUGAUGUAAUUAACAUUUUAUUUUCAGGGCCACAGUGCUGGUUGGGUGCACCAGACAAAUCAACCAACAGAUUAAAGAGUGAUGGAGAAA